This 853-nucleotide ribosomal RNA is filed under the name uncultured fungus. Its description in RNAcentral is "SSU rRNA". It matches the Rfam family "Eukaryotic small subunit ribosomal RNA", at positions 564 to 1447 of the family's 1831-position model. Lineage: Eukaryota; Fungi. The record is from RNAcentral.
GUGCCAGCAGCCGCGGUAAUUCCAGCUCCAAUAGCGCAUAUUAAAGUUGUUGUGGUUAAAAAGCUCGUAGUUGAACCUUGGGCCUGGCUGGCCGGUCCGCCUCACCGCGUGCACUGGUCCGGCCGGGCCUUUCCCUCUGUGGAACCCCAUACCCUUCACUGGGCGUGGCGGGGAAACAGGACAUUUACUUUGAAAAAAUUAGAGUGCUCCAGGCAGGCCUAUGCUCGAAUACAUUAGCAUGGAAUAAUAAAAUAGGACGCGCGGUUCUAUUUUGUUGGUUUAUAGGACCGCCGUAAUGAUUAAUAGGGACAGUCGGGGGCAUCAGUAUUCAACUGUCAGAGGUGAAAUUCUUGGAUCAGUUGAAGACUAACUACUGUGAAAGCAUUUGCCAAGGAUGUUUUCAUUAAUCAGGAACGAAAGUUAGGAGAUCGAAGACGAUCAGAUACCGUCGUAGUCUUAACCAUAAACUAUGCCGACUAGGGAUCGGACGGUGUUAUUCAUGACCCGUUCGGCACCUUACGAGAAAUCAAAGUGCUUGGGCUCCAGGGGGAGUAUGGUCGCAAGGCUGAAACUUAAAGAAAUUGACGGAAGGGCACCACCAGGGGUGGAGCCUGCGGCUUAAUUUGACUCAACACGGGGAAACUCACCAGGUCCAGACACAAUAAGGAUUGACAGAUUGAGAGCUCUUUCUUGAUUUUGUGGGUGGUGGUGCAUGGACGUUCUUAGUUGGUGGGGUGACUUGUCUGCUUAAUUGCGAUAACGAACGAGACCUUAACCUGCUAAAUAGCCCGCAUUGCUCCGGCAGUGCGCUGGCUUCUUAGAGGGACUUUCGGCUCAAGCCGAAGGAAGUUUG